Rhamnusium bicolor is the source of this 79-nucleotide non-coding RNA. Lineage: Eukaryota; Metazoa; Arthropoda; Insecta; Coleoptera; Cerambycidae. The record is from the annotation of a GenBank genome assembly.
ACCGAGACGGUAGCACAGUUGGCGAGAGCGUUGUUGUGUGGUAAUCUAUCUCGCCUGAGUUCGAGUCUCAGCUGCGGCA